This is a long non-coding RNA of Equus asinus (donkey), 2263 nucleotides long. The record is from Ensembl. NCBI's taxonomy places the organism in Eukaryota, Metazoa, Chordata, Mammalia, Perissodactyla, Equidae.
AAAAAAAAUAACAAAGGAAAUACACAGGCAAGAACAUGGAGCCUGAAUGAGCAAUAACUGUAUGAAGAAAAACUGAAACUCUCUAAGAAUCAGGAUAAAAGCAAACUAAAACCAAGAUGAAAUACCACUUUGUGUGCCCAAAUUAGGAAGGUGGAUAAUAUCAAAUAUUAACAAAAAUGUGAGGGUCUGGGGCCUCUCAAUCACUGAUGAGGGAGUCUAAGUGUGAUAGCCAUGCUGGCAAGGACUUUAGCAGUACUUUGAAAAAUUAUGUUUGCAAUUUCCUAUAAACCAAUGAUUCCACUCCUAGGUAUAAUUUCCUUUCUCCCUACAAAGAUUGCACAAGGAUGUAGGAGAUGAAUCAAUCAGGAACCAAACAAGAAAAUAAAAAUCAUGCUAGUAUUUCAAAUGGAGGUAUUUAAUACAGGGAGCUGAUGUUGGAAGGAUAAAGAGUUCAAAUAAAACAUUGGGGUAACUCAGAGAAGAGUAAUUGUGGGUACCGGCUACCACUUCUAGAACUGGAGGAACAAAAGGAAAGACGUGGUGUGACCACAACAUAGGGGCUUUGAGGAGGGGCUUUUUGGAGUUGGUGCUCAGACCUCUGAAGGGAAGGUGUCACAAGGCUGGUGAAUGGACCACUGAAGGGUAUACAGCUGGGGCUCAGAGUGCUCAUCUUCUGCUACCAAGAGGUGCGCUGCUGCUGCUGUGAUCUCUGAAAGAAGUGCAGGGCUGGAGCUGGAGCUGCCUGCUGCUGACGGAAGAACACCAGUAGAAGCUGGGCUGGCCCAGUGGCGCAGCGGUUAAGUUCGCACGUUCCACUUCUUGGCAGCCCGGGGUUCGCUGGUUUGGAUCCCAGGUGCGGACAUGGCACCGCUUGGCACACCAUGCUGUGGCGUUGUGUCAUCUCACAUCAUCACAAGAAGAAGAAGGCAGUGACUCAGAGUUUAGUGUGUACUGGAAUCAUCUGAGGGAGCUGGGUACAACGCAAACUCCUGUGCCCCACCUGAGACAGCUGAAACGGGCUGUCGGGAAAAUGAUUCUCAGGAGCCUGUGUUUCAAUAAGCUGAAUUCUCAAAAUUCAGAGUCCCUGAGUCAAAGUCAACCAUCAGAGGAGUCUGGUGUCGCCCAGGAACGGGUCCACUUUAGUUGCUCACUGGCUGGGAGUGGUCGUGGCAGCAUGGCCUCAGCAGAAAAGCAGCGAUGGAGUCCAGGGGGCAGCAGACAGGCCUGGAGUUCGAGGUCUGCCAGGAAGAUCAGCCCUGAGCUAACUACUGCAAAUCUUCCUCUCUUUUUGCUGAGGAAGACUGGCCCUGAGCUAACAUCCAUGCCCAUCUUCCUCUACUUUACACAUGGGACGCCUACCACAGCAUGGAUUGAUAAUCGGUGCCAUGUCUGCACCCGGGAUCUGAACCGGCAAACCCUGGGCUGCUGAAGCGGAACGCGAGAACUUCAUCACUGCACCACUAGACCUUGAAAAGUUAAAUGAAAUAACAUCAGUGUGAUGCUUUGCAUGCAGAAGCAAAGCACAAAAUAAAUGCAAGGCACUUUUUUGUCACUAGCAAUGUAAUGAUACAGCUAGGCCACAGUAUCAAAAGAAUAUCAUGGCCAAUUUAAGAAAACAUAGAGGAAGAUACGGCUUCAAACGUAAAUAACAAGAGUGCCGAGUCUGCAUGGGUGAGGGCCCCAGCCAGUCUGCCCAGAGACCUUGGAGAGAGAAGGCCCAGCCAGGACAGCCAGCCAAACCUGCUGGAAGCUGGCCUUGCCACAAAUGGAGCUGGAGGUUGGAUUAUUCGUGCUGGAAUUUUCUCUUUCUGAAAGACUGGAAUGCAGUUGGGUUAAGAAGUCCUGGAGAAGACAGGAGACUAGAGAAGGAAGGGGAAUUUAAGCCUAAAGCAAGCAGAAGAAAAAUAAUAAAAAAUUAAAGCAGGAAUCAAUGAAAUUAAAAACUGGAAAUUGAUAGAGAAAUCAAAACCUGGUUCUUUGAAAAGAUCCAUCACAUUGAUAAACUUUUGGCAAGGCUAACCAAAAAGAAAAGAGAAAAUUUCCAAAUUCAUGAUAUCAGAAAUGAAAGAGGGGUCAUCACUACUGAUCCCAUUGACAUUAAAAUGAUAAUUAAGGAAUAUUAUUGAUGAUGCUAUGCCCACAAAUUUGAUCACUUAAAUAAAAUGUACUAAUUCCUUGAAAGAUGCCAACUAUCAAAAUUGACACAAAGAGAAAUAGAUAAUCUGAAUAUGCCUAUGUAUUAGUCAGGGUUCUUCAGAGAAAC